AAAGGAAGGAAAUUUGUAUAAAAAAACACACUCUGCUGACUGACUUUGGCGGCACUCCGCGUAAACCGUACUCUUUUGGAUUUUAAUUUCCUUUUUCUUUUGCUUUCUUUUCUCCUCAACCAAACAAAGGGUUUAAAGAUUUGAAAGCAAAGAUACCCUUUUUACUUUGUUUGUUCUCUUUUUGGCUACUGCCCUUCAGUUACCUUUAAUGUCAUAAGACAAUCCAUCCUUAUUUCCUUUACCAAAAAAAAAACCUAAUUUUGAUUUCCCUCUCUCUCUCUCUGAACGAGGGGAUUUGUUUGAAGUGAAAGCUUGUCUUUUUUGUUUUUCUAAGGUCUCAAGAUUUCAAAGUUUGCUCUCAGAUCGGUUCUACUGCACUUCCAUAAAAGUUUGGUGUGCAGUGUUACUUCUAAAGCAUCAACAUCAAAUUUUUGUUAUCGGGUUCUCUUUUCAGUCAUGGCUGGUGAUACGAAGGCAAAUCUUUCUAAUGGUAAUGCUAAUAUAGAGCAGCAUGAUCCAAGAAGAACUUACCAAGUUGUUGUGGCUGCAACUAGGGAUAUGGGUAUUGGGAAGGAUGGGAAACUUCCAUGGAGAUUACCUUCUGAUCUCAAAUUUUUUAAGGAUGUUACUUUGACUACUACUGAUUCUGGGAAAAAGAAUGCUGUUAUAAUGGGUAGAAAAACAUGGGAAAGUAUUCCUCUAGAGCAUCGACCUCUUCCUGGUCGUCUGAAUGUUGUUUUGACUCGAUCAGGCAGUUUUGAUAUUGCUACUGCUGAGAAUGUUGUGAUGUGUGGAAGCUUUGCUUCUGCUUUGGAAUUAUUGGCUGCUUCUCCAUAUUGUCUCUCAAUCGAGAAAGUAUAUGUCAUAGGAGGAGGCCAAAUUUUAAGGGAAGCUCUUAAUGCACCUGGAUGUGAUGCUGUCCACAUUACAGAAAUUGAGACAAGCUUUGAUUGUGAUACUUUCAUUCCUGCAAUUGAUUCUUCUAUAUUUCAUCCUUGGUAUUUAUCCUUUCCCAUGGUAGAAAAUAACAUACGAUAUUCAUUUGCAACUUAUGUUCGAGUUAGGAGCUCUGCAGUUGAAUCCAAUGGUCACGAUAGUGGUCUGAGCUCUGAAAGCAGUUCAGAAAAUAGUAAGUUCGAUGUAAAAAAGUUUUCUUUCCUUCCUAAGAUGGUUUUUGACAGACACGAGGAGUUCUUGUAUCUGAGACUUGUUCAAGAAAUCAUCUCUGAUGGCAUCUUGAAGGAUGACAGAACUGGAACUGGUACUUUAUCAAAAUUUGGGUGUCAGGUGCGGUUCAACUUGCGAAAAACUUUUCCGCUUCUUACAACAAAGAAAGUAUUCUGGCGAGGUGUUGUUGAAGAACUCCUGUGGUUCAUUAGUGGUUCAACAAAUGCCAAGGUCCUUCAGGAAAAGGGAAUUCAUAUUUGGGAUGGCAAUGCAUCCAGGGAUUACCUCGAUAGUAUUGGGUUGAAGAACAGAGAGGAGGGUGACCUGGGACCUGUUUAUGGAUUCCAGUGGAGACACUUUGGUGCUAGGUAUACUGACAUGCAUGCUGACUACACUGGUCAAGGAUUUGAUCAGUUGUUAGACGUUGUUAACAAGAUUAAGAAUAAUCCAGAUGAUCGUCGAAUUAUCCUUUCAGCUUGGAAUCCCUCUGAUCUGAAAUUGAUGGCACUACCUCCCUGUCAUAUGUUUGCUCAGUUCUAUGUAGCAAACGGGGAGUUAUCAUGUCAAAUGUAUCAGCGAUCUGCUGACAUGGGACUGGGUGUGCCAUUCAACAUUGCAUCUUAUGGUCUCUUGACAUGCAUAAUUGCUCAUGUUUGUGAUCUCGUUCCUGGUGAUUUUGUUCAUGUGAUCGGGGAUACUCAUGUUUAUCGCACUCAUGUUAGGCCUCUCCAGGAGCAGCUUCAGAAACUCCCAAAACCUUUUCCAAUAUUGAAGAUCAACCCAGAGAAAAAGAACAUAGAUUCUUUCGUGGCAGCUGAUUUUAAACUCAUAGGAUAUGAUCCUCACCACAAAAUUGAAAUGAAAAUGGCAGUAUAAGUCUUCAUUAAUGGUCAACGAACUCGGACACUUUGCACUAUCCUAGGCAAUAUUUGCUUGUAGUUUUGAGUCAGGAGUGGCAGAAAGAAUUAGUGGAUUGGCCAUGUCGAAAUCAACGCAAAUAAAGCUGGCAUUCCCACAAAUAUCCAAGUCCCUGAUGAUGAUUAGCAUCAUGUUCUUCAGCAACGAACACAAUAGUGUCAGAAAGAACUAGCAGAUUGACAAUAGUUCCACAGACUACAGAGAAGCAUAUAUAAUCACUUGAUUCUCUUUAUUAGCAUAUAACCUUGACUAUGUCGAGUACUAGCUUCUGUGGUCCUAUUCUGCAACUCAAAGGAACAGUCAAUGUCUUCCACCACCAGUAUCUGCCCUAUUCCCUUCGAACUCCAACAACUUCCUGAGAUCAGACUUGGUUCGAAGAUCAGUCAACUCCAGGCAAUAUAUAUUAAACCUGAUAUAAUUAGCCAUUGCAGCAAUUUAUCUUGAUCUCCCAUCACUGGUGGUCCAAAUAUGUAUCCGCGCCGCAAUCAGUCUUGUAAAACUCUUUUCUCUUCACAAAUCUAUCACAACUUUCCACGAUCAUGGUCUUCACUUUUACU
RNA transcript from Ricinus communis (castor bean), 2642 nucleotides. It is a transcript of the gene named bifunctional dihydrofolate reductase-thymidylate synthase 1, with no coding region annotated. The record is from RefSeq and is a predicted model, not a curated record. Lineage: Eukaryota; Viridiplantae; Streptophyta; Magnoliopsida; Malpighiales; Euphorbiaceae. The transcript is spliced from 12 exons.